CCAAAAACCAGACCCCAGCUCCGCCGCCUCCCUCCGCCGGUGAGCCGCUCGCCCACCGCCAGCGAAAUCGUCUCUCUGACGUCGCUGGAGUCUGGAAGGCGGCGUAGUUCCUGCGAAGAUUCUAUCACUAAAGAAGCACGGACAGCUGUCGUCGCGCUCGCUGGCGCAGAGUGCUCGUCACUGUUUCGACCCAUCGAAGGCCGGAAUCUCCCGCGAUGGAUCUCUGCCCGUUCAAACAGGACGUCGAUGAGCUGAUCAACGAGUUCGCACAGGGCGAAUCGACGGCUUUAGCUGAUAUGAAGCGCAUAUGGCUGUCUAGGAAGUUCUCGUACAUUUACGAGGCUCGUCCUUCGUCCAACUUGACCUUCUUCAUGCAGACGCUCUAUUCUCAGUCAAUCGGUCACAUGGUCAACUCAGAGUCCCUGUCUCGCCGGUUAGGUGGACUGUAUUGCCUUUACUGUCUUUAUGAAACUCAACCAUUCAAGCCUCCUUUCAGAAUCUAUCUCUCUCUGGGAGAGCUGAAGAAUCUUAGGCAUCUUGUUGCUAGUGCAAAAGUUCAAGGAAUAACGGUGGUAUCACCUCUGGUCAAGAAAAUGCUAGAAAAGAACAUGUUUCUAUUUGGGGCUGUUGAAAUCAAUGAAGGCUCUAUUACAGAAAGAGUAAACCAACUCAUGGAACUGCAGAAUGCACGUGUUCAAGUAGCUUAUAACAAGUUAUUUGCUAAUACAAGGAUUGAGCAUUUUCUCCACAUGGAUUUGGAUACGGAAAUUGAUAUGGAUAUGGUCAAGAAUAUGUCAAAUGAAUAUGCCGAGGCCAAGAAAAGAGCCAUUAAAGAGGCUAGCGAGGUGGUCGAUGUUCAGAACAUAGAACAUAUAGCUCACAACAAGAAACCACUUGGAGAUGAACUGAUGAAGAUUGAGGAAAACUGGACUGUGCAGAGAGACAUGCUUUACCGUCAGAUAGGUUUCAAUCAGCAUGGUGGUGAAAAAUGGAAACAGCAACAAUUGCAAUUAGUACAGCAUCGGCUGGAGGACGAACCAGAUGAAGGAGAAGAUGAAGGCUUCGAGCAAGAGCUGGAACAGCUUCUAUCUCAACAUUAAUUGGAUAAUUAAAAGGAACGGAUUAGGUCAAGGCACCGAAUUUUUGAAGUUGGACGCUGGCCCCUCCAAUUUCUUAGAACUGCUUGAAGCGCUGUGACUGAAGUGCUCUGCAGUUUGCGAUGCCAAUGUGCGGGGUGGAGGCUAGUACCGAAACGUGAUUGGACUGAGGUGUUUCUGAAGAAUUGAACGUACAUUAGAACUUUGGCAGUGGAACAGCGGAGCUUUAUCUUAAGAUUCUUUUGUGGUUGCUUGUAGUUUAUCUCAUCCCGUUCCAUCUUAGACGACCUGCCAAAUGUUAACAAAUGGUUAAACAAGGUUGGAGGGUUAGGAACAUGUAACAUUUGCAAUUUCAGAUAGUUAAAGACGUCACUAUCAUAGUUUUGUUUUGAGUUCUCUCAGAUUUGGAUCAAUUUUUUGUCCAGCUUCUUAUAAAUCCAACGGUACAGGAUUGUUUGAAUUA
Rhodamnia argentea is the source of this 1560-nucleotide RNA transcript. RefSeq lists it as uncharacterized. The record is from RefSeq and is a predicted model, not a curated record. NCBI's taxonomy places the organism in Eukaryota, Viridiplantae, Streptophyta, Magnoliopsida, Myrtales, Myrtaceae. The transcript is spliced from 8 exons.